GGGUUGUGAGGUUAAGCGACUAAGCGUACACGGUGGAUGCCCUGGCAGUCAGAGGCGAUGAAGGGCGUGCUAAUCUGCGAUAAGCGCCGGUAAGGUGAUAUGAACCGUUAUAACCGGCGAUACCCGAAUGGGGAAACCCAGUGUGAUUCGUCACACUAUCAUUAACUGAAUCCAUAGGUUAAUGAGGCGAACCGGGGGAACUGAAACAUCUAAGUACCCCGAGGAAAAGAAAUCAACCGAGAUUCCCCCAGUAGCGGCGAGCGAACGGGGAGGAGCCCAGAGCCUGAAUCAGCAUGUGUGUUAGUGGAAGCGUCUGGAAAGGCGCGCGAUACAGGGUGACAGCCCCGUACACAAAAGCGCAUGUGCUGUGAGCUCGAUGAGUAGGGCGGGACACGUGGUAUCCUGUCUGAAUAUGGGGGGACCAUCCUCCAAGGCUAAAUACUCCUGACUGACCGAUAGUGAACCAGUACCGUGAGGGAAAGGCGAAAAGAACCCCGGCGAGGGGAGUGAAAAAGAACCUGAAACCGUGUACGUACAAGCAGUGGGAGCCUCUUUUAUGGGGUGACUGCGUACCUUUUGUAUAAUGGGUCAGCGACUUAUAUUCUGUAGCA
This 611-nucleotide ribosomal RNA is filed under the name Salmonella enterica subsp. enterica serovar London. RNAcentral describes it as "partial 23S ribosomal RNA". It matches the Rfam family "Bacterial large subunit ribosomal RNA", at positions 1 to 642 of the family's 2925-position model. The record is from RNAcentral. Lineage: Bacteria; Pseudomonadati; Pseudomonadota; Gammaproteobacteria; Enterobacterales; Enterobacteriaceae.